UUAUUUUGAAUCUUUUUUUGGAAUUUUCUUUUUAGACUUUUAAUUUUACUUUUUAGUUUCUCUUUGAUAUGAUUAAUAUAGUUAAAAAAAAGAAAAAAAAAGAGAAAAUGAAAAAAAAACAAAGGAAAUUAAAAAAAAGAAAAAAGUGGCUUUGUCGUUUGUGAAAAAGGGUACAACGUUGGCUUGACGAGGGUAUGAUGCAAAUUUGGGUGGCAGAGCAGUGCGAAUUGGCAUUCGGCAAGGGAAAUUUGUAGAGGAAAAAAAAGCAAAGCAAUAACAACAAGAACAAAAAGAUGAGAACCUAAGGGAGUGAUACGCGGGGCCCAAGCCCAUCAAAGAAUCAAAGACCAAUUACUAGAAGAAUAAAGGUUACUAAGCGCACCUCCCCUUGUGCUAAAUACACCAUGGCAGUUUUCUUCACAUUUAGCACAUGUAUUGAGUGCAUUUCCGUGUAGCUUCUAGAUUCAACAACUUUCAGCACAUUUUGCACAUGUUACCACGUGUAUGAUGAUUCAUGAAUGAUGGUAGCCUGGAGCAGCGUCUAGAUCUAAGGAGAUAGGCUAUAAAUAUCCUCUUCCAUCUUCAUGUAAAACACUUUUGGAAAUUGAGAGAUUAUUUGCUGAUGAAUCUUCCAGCUUUUCUCCACCGAAAGUCCUUCAACUUGUGCUUCUUUCCCUUCUCCUCUAGCUUCCUUCCUAGAGAGGGCUUUCUGAGCUAGAUCCCCUGGCCACCAAAAGCACUUCAUUCAUCAACUUCAAUCAUAAUCCAUAUCUUCCGCUGCUGCUACCACAAGUCCAGUAACCACUCUACUGCUGCCACACACUCGGUUUUCUCCUCAGUGCAUUCUCCACCGUCACUGUUCCAUUGCUUGAGCUCACGGAUCUGAAAUAUCUCCCAAGGCUGGAGGUAUCAAGGAGGAGGAGGACUACGAAAAAAAUUCUCAUCACGGAAUCAAGAGUAUUCAUUCCUUGGGGAGGCAUCUUCUUUGCACGGGCAAGAACAAACAGAGACCAACCAGCCAAAGGGGAGAGAGUGAACAUAGAGAUACAAGAUACAAAGGUGAUUCAGAUACAAAACCAUAUACACAAUUGCAAAAAGAAAAAACGCUCUCCUCACUGAUGAGUGGUUAUUUCUUGAACUAUAUUUAGUUUAUUGCACUUAAAUAAACCAAGGAAUUCUGUUUAAUUGUCUGUUAUUUCCCCGUUUUCCGAAUUCUGCUUAAUUUGGUCGGAAAUUUGUAAUUGUGCUAAUUUGGGUUUUCUCAGCUGAUUAAGUGUAUUUUGGUUGCAGGGAAAUUUUGGGAAACAGAAAUUGGAGCAUUAGGGAUGGUGGCAUAAUUAUUCAAGACUCAACAUUUAGCCAUUUCCAUUUUUAUAAAGUUGUAAUUUCGUUUUUUUUAGAAACCUUAAUUAGAUUAAGUGCAUUUGGGCCCUUUUGUGGCAAAUUUUUUAGAAGCCCAAUAUGUGGGACACUUGGCACCAAAACCCUAGGUUUUUAGGAGGUGGACCCCACCUAUUUUGUGAAGUUGGACGGUAUUUCCUAGGGCAAUUGCCGAACACACACAUAACUCACUCAUUCCACACUUUUGCUUUAGCUUUGCCUUGUAUGAACUCUCUCUUAGAGCCUUGGUGUGCCAUUUUCGGUUUUCUACCAUGAAUGAACAAGAACAUGUUUUUCUUCUUCUAUUGCUUGCAACAAUGCUUGUUCUUGUUUGAUGGAAUGAAGCUCUACCAUUUCUCUCUUUAGAUUUUCGUUUUGAAGGU
This 1763-nucleotide long non-coding RNA is filed under the name Vigna radiata. RNAcentral's name for it is "long non-coding RNA (VRAD_LNC004197)". The record is from RNAcentral. Lineage: Eukaryota; Viridiplantae; Streptophyta; Magnoliopsida; Fabales; Fabaceae.